CUGGUGGGGCUCCAUGCAGGGUCUCCCUGAGUUUCCAGCAAACUGAAAAUGCUGAGCGCCAACCCUAGGGUCACAGGUGCUGCCUCUUGACCAGGCAGGUAGUGGAGGAUCCAAGCAGGGUCUGAAUUGUGCUCCCUGCUGUCACCCCCUCCUGAAAGGUCUGCUGUGGUGCUGGUGCACAUAUCUCAGCCCUGCUGUGGGUCUGGGAGGACGAGCUAUCACAGGGCUCCUCUGCAGCCAGGGCUGUGUCACACCAAAUGCAGCUGAACAGAUCCCUCCAAACUCAAAAUACAGAGCAUCUUUGAAAGCGGGGCUGUAA
Long non-coding RNA from Pipra filicauda (Wire-tailed manakin), 319 nucleotides. RefSeq lists it as uncharacterized. The transcript has 2 exons. The record is from RefSeq and is a predicted model, not a curated record. NCBI's taxonomy places the organism in Eukaryota, Metazoa, Chordata, Aves, Passeriformes, Pipridae.